UUAACACAUGCAAGUCGAGGGGCAGCACGAGGAGUAGCAAUACGAAUUGGUGGCGACCGGCAGACGGGUGCGUAACGCGUAUACAACCUACCCUUGAAAGGGGAAUAACCCGGAGAAAUUCGGACUAAUACCCCGCUAAGUAUUUGCCUGGCAUCGGGCGGAUAUGAGAGAUUUAUCGUUCAAGGAUGGGUAUGCGUGACAUUAGGAAGUUGGUGAGGUAACGGCUCACCAAUCCGACGAUGUCUAGGGGUUCUGAGAGGAAGGUCCCCCACACUGGUACUGAGACACGGACCAGACUCCUACGGGAGGCAGCAGUGAGGAAUAUUGGUCAAUGGACGAGAGUCUGAACCAGCCAUGCCGCGUGCAGGAAGAAUGCUCUAUGAGUUGUAAACUGCUUUUAUACAAGAAUAAUAAGCUCGACGUGUCGGGUGAUGAAUGUAUUGUAUGAAUAAGGACCGGCUAACUCCGUGCCAGCAGCCGCGGUAAUACGGAGGGUCCGAGCGUUAUCCGGAUUUAUAUUCGAUGAUACGCGAGGAACCUUACCCGGGCUUGAAAGUUAGUGACCGGUGGUGAAAGCCACUUUUCCAGCAAUGGACACGAAACUAGGUGCUGCAUGGUUGUCGUCAGCUCGUGCCGUGAGGUGUCGGGUUAAGUCCCAUAACGAGCGCAACCCCUGUCGUUAGUUGCUAGCAGGUAAUGCUGAGGACUCUAACGAGACUGCCGGUGUAAACCGAGAGGAAGGUGGGGAUGACGUCAAAUCAGCACGGCCCUUACGUCCGGGGCGACACACGUGUUACAAUGGAUGGUACAAAGGGUUGCAACAUAGCGAUAUGAAGCUAAUCUCAAAAAGCCAUUCUCAGUUCGGAUCGCAGGCUGAAACUCGCCUGCGUGAAGUUGGAUUCGCUAGUAAUCGCACAUCAGCCAUGGUGCGGUGAAUACGUUCCCGGGCCUUGUACACACCGCCCGUCAAGCCAUGGAAGUUGGGGGUGCCUGAAGUACGUGUGCGUAAAAGCAGCGUCCUAGGGCAAAACCGA
RNAcentral lists this ribosomal RNA (1034 nucleotides) under uncultured Eubacterium sp. Its description in RNAcentral is "bacterial SSU rRNA". It matches the Rfam family "Bacterial small subunit ribosomal RNA". Lineage: Bacteria; Bacillati; Bacillota; Clostridia; Eubacteriales; Eubacteriaceae. The record is from RNAcentral.